UACGUGGGGGGCAAGCGUUAUCCGGAAUUACUGGGUGUAAAGGGAGCGUAGACGGUAAUGUAAGUCUGGAGUGAAAGGCGGGGGCCCAACCCCCGGACUGCUCUGGAAACUAUGUUACUAGAGUGCAGGAGAGGUAAGCGGAAUUCCUAGUGUAGCGGUGAAAUGCGUAGAUAUUAGGAGGAACACCAGUGGCGAAGGCGGCUUACUGGACUGUAACUGACGUUGAGGCUCGAAAGCGUGGGGAGCAAACAGG
This 253-nucleotide ribosomal RNA is filed under the name uncultured bacterium. RNAcentral describes it as "partial 16S ribosomal RNA". It matches the Rfam family "Bacterial small subunit ribosomal RNA", at positions 524 to 776 of the family's 1533-position model. The record is from RNAcentral.